This 438-nucleotide ribosomal RNA is filed under the name uncultured bacterium. Its description in RNAcentral is "bacterial SSU rRNA". It matches the Rfam family "Bacterial small subunit ribosomal RNA", at positions 343 to 797 of the family's 1533-position model. The record is from RNAcentral.
GGGAGGCAGCAGUGAGGAAUAUUGCACAAUGGACGAAAGUCUGAUGCAGCGACGCCGCGUGAAGGAAGACGGCCUUCGGGUUGUAAACUUCUUUUGUAAGGGACGAUUGUGACGGUACCUUACGAAUAAGGGCCUGCUAACUACGUGCCAGCAGCAGCGGUAAUACGUAGGGCCCGAGCGUUGUCCGGAUUUAUUGGGCGUAAAGAGUAUGUAGGCGGUUUUGCAAGUCGGAUUUUAAAUCCCCAGGCUUAACUUGGGUAUUGGAUUCGAAACUACAAAACUACGAGGAUAGCAGGGGCAAGCGGAAUUAGUGGAGUAGCAGUGAAAUGCGUUGAUCUCACUAAGAACACCAAUGGCGAAGGCAGCUUGCUAGGUUAUCUCUGACGCUGAGAUACGAAAGCGUGGGGAGCGAACGGGAUUAGAUACCCCAGUAGUCCG